Lampris incognitus (smalleye Pacific opah) is the source of this 74-nucleotide non-coding RNA. NCBI's taxonomy places the organism in Eukaryota, Metazoa, Chordata, Actinopteri, Lampriformes, Lampridae. The record is from the annotation of a RefSeq genome assembly.
GUCUCUGUGGUGCAAUUGGUUAGUACGUUCAGCUGAUAACUGAAAGGUUGGUGGUUUGAACCCACCCAGGGAUU